UAGUGGCGAACGGGUGAGUAACACGUGGGCAAUCUGCCCUUCACUCUGGGACAAGCCCUGGAAACGGGGUCUAAUACCGGAUAAUACUUUCUCCUGCAUGGGGGAGGGUUGAAAGCUCCGGCGGUGAAGGAUGAGCCCGCGGCCUAUCAGCUUGUUGGUGGGGUGAUGGCCUACCAAGGCGACGACGGGUAGCCGGCCUGAGAGGGCGACCGGCCACACUGGGACUGAGACACGGCCCAGACUCCUACGGGAGGCAGCAGUGGGGAAUAUUGCACAAUGGGCGGAAGCCUGAUGCAGCGACGCCGCGUGAGGGAUGACGGCCUUCGGGUUGUAAACCUCUUUCAGCAGGGAAGAAGCGUGAGUGACGGUACCUGCAGAAGAAGCGCCGGCUAACUACGUGCCAGCAGCCGCGGUAAUACGUAGGGCGCAAGCGUUGUCCGGAAUUAUUGGGCGUAAAGAGCUCGUAGGCGGCUUGUCGCGUCGGAUGUGAAAGCCCGGGGCUUAACCCCGGGUCUGCAUUCGAUACGGGCAGGCUAGAGUGUGGUAGGGGAGAUCGGAAUUCCU
This 564-nucleotide ribosomal RNA is filed under the name Streptomyces sp. 322B01. RNAcentral describes it as "bacterial SSU rRNA". It matches the Rfam family "Bacterial small subunit ribosomal RNA", at positions 93 to 671 of the family's 1533-position model. RNAcentral also lists the same sequence under 4 other names. The record is from RNAcentral. Lineage: Bacteria; Bacillati; Actinomycetota; Actinomycetes; Kitasatosporales; Streptomycetaceae.